RNAcentral lists this ribosomal RNA (700 nucleotides) under uncultured Bacteroidota bacterium. RNAcentral's name for it is "bacterial SSU rRNA". It matches the Rfam family "Bacterial small subunit ribosomal RNA", at positions 123 to 819 of the family's 1533-position model. Lineage: Bacteria; Pseudomonadati; Bacteroidota. The record is from RNAcentral.
AACUUUCCCAAAACUGGUGAAUAGCCCUCCGAAAGGAGGAUUAAUACACCGUAACAUAACGAGGUGGCAUCAUUUUGUUAUUAUAGGCUUCGGCCGGUUUUGGAUGGGCGUGCGCCUGAUUAGGUAGUUGGCGGGGUAACGGCCCACCAAGCCUGCGAUCAGUAACUGGUGUGAGAGCACGACCAGUCACACGGGCACUGAGACACGGGCCCGACCCCUACGGGAGGCAGCAGUAAGGAAUAUUGGUCAAUGGACGAAAGUCUGAACCAGCCAUGCCGCGUGAAGGAUGAAGGUCCUCUGGAUUGUAAACUUCUUUUAUCUGGGACGAAAAAAGGGAAUUCUUUCCCACUUGACGGUACCAGAGGAAUAAGCACCGGCUAACUCCGUGCCAGCAGCCGCGGUAAUACGGAGGGUGCAAGCGUUAUCCGGAUUCACUGGGUUUAAAGGGUGCGUAGGUGGGUCUGUAAGUCAGUGGUGAAAUCUCCGAGCUUAACUCGGAAACUGCCGUUGAUACUAUAGGUCUUGAAUCAUCUGGAGGUAAGCGGAAUAUGUCAUGUAGCGGUGAAAUGCUUAGAUAUGACAUAGAACACCAAUUGCGAAGGCAGCUUACUACGGAUGCAUUGACACUGAGGCACGAAAGCGUGGGGAUCAAACAGGAUUAGAUACCCUGGUAGUCCACGCCCUAAACGAUGGAUACUCG